RNAcentral lists this ribosomal RNA (486 nucleotides) under Pseudomonas sp. LCY12. Its description in RNAcentral is "bacterial SSU rRNA". It matches the Rfam family "Bacterial small subunit ribosomal RNA", at positions 8 to 489 of the family's 1533-position model. Lineage: Bacteria; Pseudomonadati; Pseudomonadota; Gammaproteobacteria; Pseudomonadales; Pseudomonadaceae. The record is from RNAcentral.
AGAGUUUGAUCCUGGCUCAGAUUGAACGCUGGCGGCAGGCCUAACACAUGCAAGUCGAGCGGUAGAGAGAAGCUUGCUUCUCUUGAGAGCGGCGGACGGGUGAGUAAUGCCUAGGAAUCUGCCUGGUAGUGGGGGAUAACGUUCGGAAACGGACGCUAAUACCGCAUACGUCCUACGGGAGAAAGCAGGGGACCUUCGGGCCUUGCGCUAUCAGAUGAGCCUAGGUCGGAUUAGCUAGUUGGUGGGGUAAUGGCUCACCAAGGCGACGAUCCGUAACUGGUCUGAGAGGAUGAUCAGUCACACUGGAACUGAGACACGGUCCAGACUCCUACGGGAGGCAGCAGUGGGGAAUAUUGGACAAUGGGCGAAAGCCUGAUCCAGCCAUGCCGCGUGUGUGAAGAAGGUCUUCGGAUUGUAAAGCACUUUAAGUUGGGAGGAAGGGCAGUUACCUAAUACGUGAUUGUUUUGACGUUACCGACAGAAUAA